RNAcentral lists this ribosomal RNA (301 nucleotides) under uncultured bacterium. RNAcentral describes it as "partial 16S ribosomal RNA". It matches the Rfam family "Bacterial small subunit ribosomal RNA", at positions 509 to 809 of the family's 1533-position model. The record is from RNAcentral.
CAGUCGCCGCGGUAAUACGUAGGGUGCAAGCGUUAAUCGGAAUUACUGGGCGUAAAGCGUGCGCAGGCGGUUAUAUAAGACAGAUGUGAAAUCCCCGGGCUCAACCUGGGAACUGCAUUUGUGACUGUAUAGCUAGAGUACGGCAGAGGGGGAUGGAAUUCCGCGUGUAGCAGUGAAAUGCGUAGAUAUGCGGAGGAACACCGAUGGCGAAGGCAAUCCCCUGGGCCUGUACUGACGCUCAUGCACGAAAGCGUGGGGAGCAAACAGGAUUAGAUACCCGGGUAGUCCCUGUCUCUUAUAU